UAGGGAAUCUUCCGCAAUGGGCGAAAGCUUGACGGAGCAACGCCGCGUGAGUGAUGAAGGUCUUAGGAUCGUAAAACUCUGUUAUUAGGGAAGAACAAAUGUGUAAGUAACUAUGAACGUCUUGACGGUACCUAAUCAGAAAGCCACGGCUAACUACGUGCCAGCAGCCGCGGUAAUACGUAGGUGGCAAGCGUUAUCCUGAAUUAUUGGGCGUAAAGCGCGCGUAGGCGGUUUUUUAAGUCUGAUGUGAAAGCCCACGGCUCAACCGUGGACGGUCAUUCGAAACUGGACAUCUUGAGUUCAGAAGAGGUAAGUGGAAUUCCAUGUGUAGCGGUGAAAUGCGCAGAGAUAUGGCGGAACACCAGUGGCGAAGGCGACUUUCUGGUCUGUAACUGACGCUGAUGUGCGAAAGCGUGGGGAUCAAACAGG
This 429-nucleotide ribosomal RNA is filed under the name Actinomycetes bacterium. Its description in RNAcentral is "Actinobacteria bacterium partial 16S ribosomal RNA". It matches the Rfam family "Bacterial small subunit ribosomal RNA", at positions 355 to 776 of the family's 1533-position model. Lineage: Bacteria; Bacillati; Actinomycetota; Actinomycetes. The record is from RNAcentral.